CCUACGGGAGGCAGCAGUGGGGAAUAUUGGACAAUGGGCGAAAGCCUGAUCCAGCGACGCCGCGUGGGUGAAGAAGGCCUUCGGGUUGUAAAGCCCUUUAAGCCGGGACGAAAAAAUCGGCGAUAACAUCGCCGGUCUUGACGGUACCGGAAGAAUAAGCACCGGCUAACCCUGUGCCAGCAGCCGCGGUAAU
Molecule: ribosomal RNA, 193 nt
Filed under: uncultured bacterium
Lineage: Bacteria
Description: partial 16S ribosomal RNA
Rfam family: Bacterial small subunit ribosomal RNA
Source: RNAcentral